RNAcentral lists this ribosomal RNA (274 nucleotides) under uncultured bacterium. Its description in RNAcentral is "partial 16S ribosomal RNA". It matches the Rfam family "Bacterial small subunit ribosomal RNA", at positions 523 to 796 of the family's 1533-position model. The record is from RNAcentral.
AUACGGAGGGUCCAAGCGUUAUCCGGAUUCAUUGGGUUUAAAGGGUGCGCAGGCGGGCUUGUAAGUCAGUGGUGAAAUACUGCCGCUUAAUGGUAGAACUGCCAUUGAUACUGCAAGUCUUGAAUAUGGUUGAGGUAGGCGGAAUGUGUUGUGUAGCGGUGAAAUGCAUAGAUAUGACACAGAACGCCAAUUGCGAAGGCAGCUUACUAAGCCAUUAUUGACGCUGAGGCACGAAAGCGUGGGGAGCGAACAGGAUUAGAAACCCCGGUAGUCC